GAGUAACGCGUGGGUAACCUGCCUUAUACAGGGGGAUAACAGUCAGAAAUGGCUGCUAAUACCGCAUAAGCGCACAGAGCUGCAUGGCUCAGUGUGAAAAACUCCGGUGGUAUAAGAUGGACCCGCGUUGGAUUAGCUGGUUGGUGGGGUAACGGCCCACCAAGGCGACGAUCCAUAGCCGGCCUGAGAGGGUGAACGGCCACAUUGGGACUGAGACACGGCCCAGACUCCUACGGGAGGCAGCAUG
This 247-nucleotide ribosomal RNA is filed under the name uncultured bacterium. RNAcentral describes it as "partial 16S ribosomal RNA". It matches the Rfam family "Bacterial small subunit ribosomal RNA", at positions 108 to 353 of the family's 1533-position model. The record is from RNAcentral.